AUGAGUUGUAAACUCUUGUGACCCUCUGACCUUCUGAACCUUUAUUGAAUUUCUCUCUGUGCAGCUUAUUUGUCAGUGAGUCAUUGUGAUGUCAAACAAUAUCAUGUUCUUCUUGAAUCCACUUAAAUGUUUCCUGUCAUUUACAUUUUCACCUGGUCGUCCUCCAGGUGAACACCUUGAGAAUGAGAACCACUUUGCUUGCUUUUCCUAGUCUAUACAGGGCUCAAAGCAACAAUCUGUGCAUAUUUACAAAAGUGGAAAAUGAAGUAAGGUGAUCCAUACUGAAACUGGAAAAAUAAAUUCAGCCACGUUCAAUGAUUGACAGAAUUCAGGGUUUCCACCUGCACAUCAAGGUCUUCAGUGUUAGCUAAAUCUUACACAAAUAUCUUAACAUCCAAGGUGGUCUCACAAUAAAUUCUAAAAAGUUUUCCAAAUGAAAAAAGCCUAGCAACAGAAAGUGUGACCUCCAGAAGUCUUGAGUUUAAAAGUGAAGGCUGCCAAGAGAAGUGAGGCUGGGAGGACGCACACGGCUAAUCCCUGCGAGAUAGAAGAGCCGACCAAAGAUAGCACAGCUCGGCAGAGGAGAGGAUUUUCAACUUGAUCAUGGAAGCUGCUGACAACCAUCAGGCCUCAAUUAGGUUUGGAAUUUCACUUUGGAAUGGCUGAAGUUUACACUGCCAACUUCUCCCAACUUACACUUUUACUAAUUAUAUGAAUCCCAACAGUGGCCCAGUUGCAGUAGUGGUGAAAGCCACACACCUGGUGGUAAAAUAAGUCUCACCAAAAAACUACUCGAAGAAAGAAGAAAUGUUAUAAAAUAGCUAGUUGGACUUUUGAUUGGAAUUAUGAGUAUGUACACCUUAUUCUGAGGAGAGUUGUUAUCUUUUAAAAACUGAUUUAUCACCAGGAACAAGAUAUGUGAUUCCAAUUAUUCAUGUCUCAUUUUAUAUUUUACAAUAAAAUUCAGUUAUGCACUGAGUUAUGUACCCUCCCAAAUUAUGUUGGAACCUCAACCCUCAGUGUGACAGUAUUUGGAGUUGGGCCUUUAAGGAGGUGUUCAAAGUUCAGUGAGGUCAUAGUGUGAGGCCCCAAUUCAAUACAACUGAUGUCCUUAUCAGAAGAGGAAGCACUCUCUCUGUCCUGUCUUUCUCCAUCCGCAUGCACACAAUAAAGAAAGGCCAUCUCUGGAGGGAUAACAAUGAACAAGACUAGUAAGAUCCUUGACCUCUGAAGCUACAUUUUAUUAGCAGAGUGAAGCAAUAAAAAACAAACAAAAAAUAAAAUGAACAAAGAAAGAAGAUAUUGGACACUGAGAAAUGCAGUGAAGAAAAUAAGCCAGGGUAAAGUGAUAGACAAUUGCUUGGGAAUGGGAAAGACAGUGUUUGAUAGCAAGAGCAGUGUGAAAGUGACAGCUGAGUUGAAACUCGAGUGAAGAGAAGGACCCAGCCCCGUGAAAAUCAGGAUGGAGAAUCAUCCAUGCAGAGAGGAGAGAAAGUGUAGUGUCUCUGAGAUGGGACAAGCUCUUCAUGAAGCCAGCUUCACCUAAAACAAGAGAGUUGAAGAAUCACAUGCGACGAAAUCAGUGUGGAUAUAUCCUAAGUGUGAUGGGAAGGCGGUAUAAUACGAUGUUAACUAUUAAUUGGAAGUGACUAGAUGGUUGCAAAUAAUGGAGUGACAUGUUCUGAUUAAACUCUAAGAGGUUCUUUUUGACUGUCAUUGGAAAAAAUGGAUUAUUGAGAGACAGUUGUGGAACAUGAGUAGCUACCACCAUAGUCCAAUCAGGAAUGAUGGUGGAAAUUAAAGUGGGGCUUGCAACUGAUGUGAAGAAAAAUGAAGAGGGUCACAUUAUCUUUGGGAGACGAAGUUAUCAGCAUUGGCUGCUGGAUCAGAUACUGGGGAAAGUGAGGGAAAAAGAGGUAUCGGCUGAUUCCUUUGUUGGGGGGUCUUAGUGCCGAGUACUAAGAUGCCUAACACAGCAGAAGGAUCAGGUGUGGAAAUUGAGUGGAAUCAUGAAUACUGUUUUAGAUAUACUAGAUUUGAGACGUAUGCCAUUUAUCCAAAUAUAGAUGUCAGACAAUCACAAUCAUGCUCAUAAUUAUCAUCGAGUACUUAGUACUUGCCAGACACUGUUUUUGAUCCUUUACAUAGAUGAAUUCUUUUCCUAACAAUAAACCAGUGAAGUAGAUAUUAUUCACAACUCCAUAAUACAGAUGAGGAGAUAGGCACAGAAUUAAAUAACUUGCCCACGUUCACACUGUUAGCAUACAUUAGAGAUCAGAUGAGCUCUCAGCCAGUCUAGUUCCCAAGGCCUUGUUUCUAUACCACUAAGCUAUCCCUUUCUGUUUAAAAAGAAAGGAUAAAAAGUAAAUGUGAUAUAAAUGUGUAAGUCAUGGAAGAAAUAGAAAGUGAAUUUGGAGUUGUUAGAAUAUAAAUAGUAAACAGAAAAGAGAAGAUGGUCUGUGACUGAAUCUGGGCACCAAAUACAUAGAAGUCAGUUACAGGAGGAGGAACAAGUAAGGGACAGGAAGAUGGAGCACCAGGGAGGUGGAGGAAAACCAGAGACUGAGUGAUUCCAGAAGCUCAAGGAGUCAAGGUUAUUGAAUGCCGUGAGAUGCUGAGGUAGGUGGCAGUAGACAGUGACCACUGGGUUUGGCAAGAUUGUAGCUGUUGGAAACCUUUACUUAGGAAGUUUUAGUGUGGAGAACAAAAGCCCAACUGAAGUGAGGUGAGGAGAAAAAGGGGCUAUAAGGAGCUGGGACAGUCACUGCAGAAAACUUGCGGAGCUUUGUUCUUCAGGAGGGGAGUGGAGAUGUAGUAUUACCUUUGUGGAGGGCAGGUGGGUCUGUAUCCCUAGGGAUGCUGCAACUAAUUACCACAAACUUUGUGGCUUAAAAAGAAGAAAUGUAUUCCUUCACAUUCCUGGAGGCCAGAAGUGUGAAAUCAAGAAGUCUGCUGUUUUCCCUCCAAAAGUUUUAGGAGAGAACCCUUCCUGGUUUCUUCCAGUUUCUGGUGGCUCCAGGCAUUCUUUGGCUUGUGGUUGCAUAACUCCAGUCUCUGCCCUAGAUUCAACAGACACUUCAAGGACUUCUUUAUAUUUCUCUCCUCUGUGUGUCUCUUAUAAGGAUGCUUGCCAUUGGAUUCAGGGCCUGUGGGGAUAGUCCAAGAUGAUCUCAUCUGGAGAUCAGUAGCUUAAUUACAUCUGCAAAGACUUUUUUCCAAAUAAGAUCACAUUCACAUGUUCUAAAGAUUAGGAUGUGGACACAUCUUUUUGGAGGAAUAUCAUUCAAUCCACUACAGAGGGUAUAAGAUCAAAAGAGGGCCUUUUUUUUUUUUAAGGUGAGAGUGACUAAAGUAUUUUUCUAUGCUGGUAGAAAUUUUCCACUAAGGAGGGAAACAUUUGGGAAAUGGUAGAAAGUGGAGAUAUCACACAUGGGAAAUCAAUGAUGAGGUAAGAAGAUAUAGGAUUCCCAGCCCUGAUGGAAAGAUCUUUUUCUUAAUUCUAGCAGGGACUUAUUGGCUGUGGGUUCAGGUAAGGGAGGAGGUUUGGUAGUAGAAGGAUGAGGGAGUUUGUGUGUGCAUACAUUUAUUUUUCUCCAAUGAAACAAGAAACAAGUUUGUAGAUUCAAGUUAUCAGAAAUAGAGAUAUUUAAAGUUUGAAGACUGAGUGGAUAGUCUGAAAUAUUUUUAACGGAGGACAAUAAAGAGAUCUUCCUAGGAGCAUAGAUUGAGCUUGUCAAGUCCGCUUGAGAACUGUGGUCGUGAAUCAGUAAUUAGACCCGUUAACAUAUUUCUCCAGCAACAGUUAGCUGGUCAAGUGCAGGUGGACGUUAGGAGGAUAUUUGGGUAAACCAAGAUUAUGGUUUUUCCAAGUGGUUAUAUUGGAGGGUGAAAGGGACAAGGGAUAAAUAGUAUUGGCUUAUGAGAGAUUAUAGGUAUUGACCAUGCAAUUUUCACUAGUUAAGGAAUAAAAUUAGGGAAGUGGGCGAUGGAUAGUGAGAACACUGUAAGGACAAUAAUUUGGAGUUCUCAGUUUGGUUGAAGAAUCGCUGGUGUGGGGAUGGUACAAUAAUUCAAUUGAAAAUCUAAAGUUGUGGUCAAUGGGAAAGAUGCUUGAAAUUGAGACUUCUGAG
RNAcentral lists this long non-coding RNA (4130 nucleotides) under Equus caballus (horse). RNAcentral's name for it is "lncRNA (ENSECAG00000047870.1)". The record is from RNAcentral. Lineage: Eukaryota; Metazoa; Chordata; Mammalia; Perissodactyla; Equidae.